GUCCAGGUGGCUCAGUGGUUGAGCACCUGACUUUGGCUCAGGGCAUGAUCCCGGGGUCCUGGGAUCAAGUCCCAUGUUGGGCU
RNAcentral lists this transfer RNA (83 nucleotides) under Canis lupus familiaris (dog). It matches the Rfam family "tRNA". From Rfam's summary of the family: Transfer RNA (tRNA) molecules are approximately 80 nucleotides in length. The record is from Rfam by way of RNAcentral. Lineage: Eukaryota; Metazoa; Chordata; Mammalia; Carnivora; Canidae. RNAcentral also lists the same sequence under 1 other name.